UCAACAACUAACCCACAAAGCAGAUAACUGAAAUGGAGUCUCGCUCUGUCGCCCAGGCUGGAGUGCAGUGGCGCAAUCUCGGCUCACUACAAACUCCGCCUCCCGGGUUCAAGCCUCUCCUGCCUCAGGCUCCUGAGUAGCUGGGACUACAGGCGCCCCCCACCACGCCCGGCUAAUUUUUUUUAUUUUUAGUAGAGAUGGGGUUUCACCGUGUUAACCAGGAUGGUCUCGAUCUCCUGACUUCGUGAUCUGCCUGCCUCAGCCUCCCAAAGUGCUGGGAUUACAGGCGUGAGCCACCGCGCCUGGAUAAUUAUGGUUAUUCUUAUCAUCAUCAUUUGAAAGAACAGUUGUAAAUAAAUAGAGUAAAUAAAUUA
RNAcentral lists this non-coding RNA (374 nucleotides) under Pongo abelii (Sumatran orangutan). Lineage: Eukaryota; Metazoa; Chordata; Mammalia; Primates; Hominidae. The record is from RNAcentral.